GAUGAACGCUAGCGGCAGGCUUAAUACAUGCAAGUCGAGGGGCAGCACGGGUAGCAAUACCUGGUGGCGACCGGCAAACGGGUGCGGAACACGUACGCAACCUUCCCAUAACUGGUGAAUAGCCUUCCGAAAGGGAGAUUAAUACACCGUAACAUAACGAAGUGGCAUCACUUUGUUAUUAUAGGCUUCGGCCGGUUUUGGAUGGGCGUGCGCCUGAUUAGGUAGUUGGCGGGGUAACGGCCCACCAAGCCUGCGAUCAGUAACUGGUGUGAGAGCACGACCAGUCACACGGGCACUGAGACACGGGCCCGACUCCUACGGGAGGCAGCAGUAAGGAAUAUUGGUCAAUGGACGAAAGUCUGAACCAGCCAUGCCGCGUGAAGGAUUAA
This 389-nucleotide ribosomal RNA is filed under the name uncultured bacterium. RNAcentral describes it as "bacterial SSU rRNA". It matches the Rfam family "Bacterial small subunit ribosomal RNA", at positions 28 to 412 of the family's 1533-position model. The record is from RNAcentral.